UAGGGAAUCUUCGGCAAUGGGGGGCAACCCUGACCGAGCAACGCCGCGUGAGUGAAGAAGGUUUUCGGAUCGUAAAGCUCUGUUGUAAGUCAAGAACGAGUGUGAGAGUGGAAAGUUCACACUGUGACGGUAGCUUACCAGAAAGGGACGGCUAACUACGUGCCAGCAGCCGCGGUAAUACGUAGGUCCCGAGCGUUGUCCGGAUUUAUUGGGCGUAAAGCGAGCGCAGGCGGUUUGAUAAGUCUGAAGUUAAAGGCUGUGGCUCAACCAUAGUUCGCUUUGGAAACUGUCAAACUUGAGUGCAGAAGGGGAGAGUGGAAUUUCAUGUGUAGCGGUGAAAUGCGUAGAUAUAUGGAGGAACACCGGUGGCGAAAGCGGCUCUCUGGUCUGUAACUGACGCUGAGGCUCGAAAGCGUGGGGAGCGAACAGGAUUAGAUACCCUGGUAGUCCACGCCGUNNCGAUGAGUGCUAGGUGUUGGAUCCUUUCCGGGAUUCAGUGCCGCAGCUAACGCAUUAAGCACUCCGCCUGGGGAGUACGACCGCAAGGUU
Molecule: ribosomal RNA, 549 nt
Filed under: uncultured bacterium
Lineage: Bacteria
Description: bacterial SSU rRNA
Rfam family: Bacterial small subunit ribosomal RNA
Source: RNAcentral